RNAcentral lists this long non-coding RNA (964 nucleotides) under Homo sapiens (human). RNAcentral's name for it is "HSALNT0063181". The record is from RNAcentral. Lineage: Eukaryota; Metazoa; Chordata; Mammalia; Primates; Hominidae.
GGGGCCCGUGGCAGCUGACAGGGAAUAUUGUGUGUUGAGAAAGGAAAUGAGUUCCAAGGAUACCAAGGACAACGUUACCAGAGGCAGAAAUGACACGAGAUACAAAAGAACGUAUUCAAAAAUUUAACAAAACAGAAAUGGAAAAUUAUUUUAAAAUAUAUUGAAAUAUCAACGAAUAACACCUCAAAUGUACAGGGAUAUGUAAAGCAGCAACUCGGGUCGGAAGCAAGGAAUCGAGGCGUUGGGUGUGUUUAAACUUGACGAGGUAGGGAGAAGAGACCCUGAUACAAACUCCUUCAGAAUCGUUGACUCUCGGUCCUUUCUAGUAUAUUUUUUUAGUAGAACAACGUGCAGAUAAGUGUUUAAAAUGCAGAUCUUCCUAAGGAAACACUUUUAAAGGCAACAGAGGGGAAUUUUUUUUUAAGUUAAAAUGGAAGAAGUUAGUGGGUUUAACAGAUAUGAACAACUGAGUUUCCUUUGGGGGAGAGGCAAUGAAAAGAGCCGGAGUACUUUAGGGAUCACUUUGGAGAGGAUAUUGUAGUGGGGGAAAGGAAGGUAAAAACUUAGGAAGCAGAGUAGUACCUUUAAAGUCGUCAGUACUUUAUAUACCAUCAACUGGGCUAUGGACAACAGAAGCUGUGCCUGGAAAUAACUCACACUGAAGGUUAACUUGAAUAUAAAUUUAGAACAGAUCUUAAAUACAAAUGAUGAUGUUCAUUAUAAACUGUUAUUCUUCAAAGACUCAUUUAACUGAAGUAACAUUGUAUUUGCAUACCAGAGCACUGGUGUUUUUCAAAAUGAGUUUAGGAUAAGAAAAUUCACUUGAAAAGCUGGAGUAUGUAUGUAUUUUGCGCCAUCAUGGAUUUUAUCAUAAGCAGUGUUCAAGAAAACAAAUUACCAGCGAAUUCCCACCCUAUGAGUAAAAGUUAUCUUGUCAACAUAUCAAUAGAUGAACAUUUUGUAC